GUCCAUGAUGGCCGAGAUCGUUAGGCAUCGAGCUUUUAACUCGAUUACAGUUGCUUUACUUCAGGACGC
This 69-nucleotide transfer RNA is filed under the name Anemina euscaphys. RNAcentral's name for it is "Anodonta euscaphys tRNA-Lys". Lineage: Eukaryota; Metazoa; Mollusca; Bivalvia; Unionida; Unionidae. RNAcentral also lists the same sequence under 1 other name. The record is from RNAcentral.